Molecule: ribosomal RNA, 280 nt
Filed under: uncultured prokaryote
Description: partial 16S ribosomal RNA
Source: RNAcentral
CCCUACGGCUAUGAAGAGGGCUUCAAUAAUCUUUGCGACUCCCGCAAGCAGCUCUCCCGAAACCAAGUCUCUUAUACCCUUAACAAGGGCCACUCCCGGCACAAGGGUCAUAAUAGGGCCUAUUAUUACAUUGUUGUAAUCGCAGGUAAUCCCCCCAUAUUGGGCAAAAUAAACUAUUAUAAGGCAGAUGGCGGCAAGGGCUGCUCCUCCCAAAAUAUUCUUUAUAAAAAAAUUGAAAUCCUUGGUUGUAAGCCAGUCCAUACAGGCCACUGUCAGACAG